AGAGUUUGAUCCUGGCUCAGAUUGAACGCUGGCGGCAUGCCUUACACAUGCAAGUCGGACGGCAGCGCGGGGCAACCUGGCGGCGAGUGGCGAACGGGUGAGUAAUAUAUCGGAACAUACCCUAGAGUGGGGGAUAACGUAGCGAAAGUUACGCUAAUACCGCAUACGCACUAAGGUGGAAAGCGGGGGAUCGCAAGACCUCGUGCUCCUGGAGUGGCCGAUAUCUGAUUAGCUAGUUGGUGAGGUAAAGGCUCACCAAGGCAACGAUCAGUAGCUGGUUUGAGAGAACGACCAGCCACACUGGAACUGAGACACGGUCCAGACUCCUACGGGAGGCAGCAGUGGGGAAUUUUGGACAAUGGGGGCAACCCUGAUCCAGCAAUGCCGCGUGAGUGAAGAAGGCCCUCGGGUUGUAAAGCUCUUUUGUCAGGGAAGAAACGGUCUACUCUAAUACAGUGGGCUAAUGACGGUACCUGAAGAAUAAGCACCGGCUAACUACGUGCCAGCAGCCGCGGUAAUACGUAGGGUGCAAGCGUUAAUCGGAAUUACUGGGCGUAAAGCGUGCGCAGGCGGUUUUAUAAGUCUGAUGUGAAAUCCCCGGGCUCAACCUGGGAACUGCAUUGGAGACUGUAAGGCUAGAGUGUGUCAGAGGGGGGUAGAAUUCCACGUGUAGCAGUGAAAUGCGUAGAUAUGUGGAGGAAUACCGAUGGCGAAGGCAGCCCCCUGGGAUAACACUGACGCUCAUGCGCGAAAGUGUGGGGAGCAAACAGGAUUAGAUACCCUGGUAGUCCACGCCCUAAACGAUGUCUACUAGUUGUCGGGUCUUAAUUGACUUGGUAACGCAGCUAACGCGUGAAGUAGACCGCCUGGGGAGUACGGUCG
This 882-nucleotide ribosomal RNA is filed under the name uncultured beta proteobacterium. Its description in RNAcentral is "bacterial SSU rRNA". It matches the Rfam family "Bacterial small subunit ribosomal RNA", at positions 8 to 888 of the family's 1533-position model. Lineage: Bacteria; Pseudomonadati; Pseudomonadota; Betaproteobacteria. The record is from RNAcentral.